This 109-nucleotide non-coding RNA is filed under the name Chloroflexota bacterium. RNAcentral's name for it is "Chloroflexi bacterium TPP sequence". It matches the Rfam family "TPP riboswitch aptamer (THI element)". Rfam says of the family: Vitamin B(1) in its active form thiamin pyrophosphate (TPP) is an essential coenzyme that is synthesised by coupling of pyrimidine and thiazole moieties in bacteria. The previously detected thiamin-regulatory element, thi box was extended, resulting in a new, highly conserved RNA secondary structure, the THI element, which is widely distributed in eubacteria and also occurs in some archaea. Lineage: Bacteria; Bacillati; Chloroflexota. The record is from RNAcentral.
AAGACGGGACAGGGGAGCGCCCACGAGGCGCUGAGAGUGCGGCAUCGCCCGCAGACCCUCGGAACCUGAUCUGGUUCGUACCAGCGAAGGGAGUCCACGCCGCGACCUC